CAGCAGCCGCGGGAAUACGUAGGUGGCAAGCGUUGUCCGGAAUUAUUGGGCGUAAAGGGCUCGCAGGCGGCAUACACAGUCAGAUGUGAAAUUCCUGGGCUUAACCUGGGGGCUGCAUUUGAUACGUGUAGGCUAGAGUGGGGAAGAGGGUUGUGGAAUUCCCAGUGUAGAGGUGAAAUUCGUAGAUAUUGGGAAGAACACCGGUGGCGAAGGCGGCAACCUGGUCCUUGACUGACGCUGAGGCGCGAAAGCGUGGGGAGCAAACAGGAUUAGAUACCCCCGUAGUCCCUGUCUCUUAUAC
RNAcentral lists this ribosomal RNA (301 nucleotides) under uncultured bacterium. RNAcentral's name for it is "partial 16S ribosomal RNA". It matches the Rfam family "Bacterial small subunit ribosomal RNA", at positions 509 to 807 of the family's 1533-position model. The record is from RNAcentral.